Molecule: long non-coding RNA, 726 nt
Organism: Fundulus heteroclitus (mummichog)
Lineage: Eukaryota; Metazoa; Chordata; Actinopteri; Cyprinodontiformes; Fundulidae
Exons: 3
Source: RefSeq, a predicted model, not a curated record
GGCUGCUGCAUGAAGACAGAUUUAAAUGGCUUGGAAGAAUAAGGUUGCCCUACUUGCAGAACGUACUUCCAGACUGUGGCAGCCAGAGAAGGCAACAGACUGAACAUGAUAGGGAGCACCACCCAUCACUGUUUGCCAAAAGUUCAAGUUUUAAGAACCAGCCAUUCUGCGGUGCCCGAGUUGAACCACUUUCCAGGCUGUGGUACCUCUUUUUUUCAGAGGAAACAUGCAAAAAAAAAAAAAAAAAAAAAAGCAAUUCAAAACCAAGGCACUCAGCUGGGGGCUUGUAAGUAUCCCCACUCCCACCCCACCGCUUUCUACCUAAGCAGCUCCGGAGUAGGAGAGAGUCCAGCACCUCUCCAGAAGUGGGGUUCCAGAGCCUAAGCUGUGCGUCAAGAUUACUGUCAGCAAUGCUGGUGCCAGAACCUGUCAGAGAGUUUGUCUUCACGCUAAUUUGCAAUUGUGGAUAUUAUAUUUCGACACAGCAAUGAUGGAUGGUGACGAGCCAAACAUCUCAAGUAUGAGCAGACUGCUGCCUCAACUAAAAAGGAGAAUUGCAUUCAUUUUUAAGGUGUUCCUGUAAUGUGUUGUGCUAUGUACAUGAAAGCAUUGAUAACUACUCAAAAAGAGAAGAUUUUCUGUCUGGUACAGUGGAAAGGUUGUAUUAUUGGGACACUGGUUUUUAAACCUUUGUGCCAUGCCUUUUUUAAAUUAAGUGUUCUUAAA